GUAAUAGAGUUGAUCAUGGCUCAAGGACGAACGCUGGCGGCGUGCCUAACACAUGCAAGUCGAACGAGGUCCAUCCUUUGGGAGAAGACCUAGUGGCGAACGGGUGAGUAACACGUGAGGAACCUGCCCCGAAGACCGGGAUAACCCUCCGAAGGGAGAGCUAAUACCGGAUACCCCCACCGAGCCGCAUGGUUUGGUGAGGAAAUGGAUUCCGCUUCGGGAGGGCCUCGCGGCCUAUCAGCUAGUUGGUGGGGUAACGGCCCACCAAGGCAUCGACGGGUAGCUGGUCUGAGAGGACGAUCAGCCACACUGGGACUGAGACACGGCCCAGACUCCUACGGGAGGCAGCAGUGGGGAAUCUUGCGCAAUGGGCGAAAGCCUGACGCAGCAACGCCGCGUGGGGAUGAAGGCUCUCGGGUUGUAAACCCCUUUCAGCAGGGACGAAUCAAGACGGUACCUGCAGAAGAAGCCCCGGCUAACUACGUG
Molecule: ribosomal RNA, 486 nt
Filed under: uncultured bacterium
Lineage: Bacteria
Description: bacterial SSU rRNA
Rfam family: Bacterial small subunit ribosomal RNA
Source: RNAcentral